UACGAACUGUGCAAACGUUAUUCGGAAUCACUGGGCUUAAAGGGUUCGUAGGCGGCCUGCUAAGUCGGGUGUGAAAUCCCUCGGCUCAACCGAGGAAUUGCGCCCGAUACUGUCAGGCUUGAGUGAGAUAGAGGAGAGCGGAACUCACGGUGGAGCGGUGAAAUGCGUUGAUAUUGUGAGGAACACCGGUGGCGAAAGCGGCUCUCUGGGUCUUUGCUGACGCUGAAGAACGAAAGCUAGGGGAGCGAACGGG
RNAcentral lists this ribosomal RNA (253 nucleotides) under uncultured bacterium. RNAcentral describes it as "partial 16S ribosomal RNA". It matches the Rfam family "Bacterial small subunit ribosomal RNA", at positions 524 to 776 of the family's 1533-position model. The record is from RNAcentral.